UCCCUAAACGGGCAGUCCGGCCAGACACUAGGUAACUUACCGUAGGGGUUGCGCUCGUUGCGCCACUUAAGGCAACACCUCACGGCACGAGCUGACGACAGCCAUGCACCACCUGUGCAGGCUCCGAAGAGCGCCCGCUUUCACGGGUUUCACCCUGCAUGUCAAACCCAGGUAAGGUUCUUCGCGUCGCAUCGAAUUGAGCCGCAUGCUCCGCCGCUUGUGCGGGGCCCCGUCAAUUCCUUUGAGUUUUAGCCUUGCGGCCGUACUCCCCAGGCGGGGUGCUUAAUGCGUUAGCUUCGGCACGGACGGGGUCGAUAUCCGCCCACACCUAGCACCCAACGUUUACGGCUAGGACUAC
RNAcentral lists this unclassified non-coding RNA (358 nucleotides) under uncultured Actinomycetes bacterium. RNAcentral describes it as "uncultured actinobacterium contains 16S-23S intergenic spacer region". The record is from RNAcentral. Lineage: Bacteria; Bacillati; Actinomycetota; Actinomycetes.